RNAcentral lists this unclassified non-coding RNA (208 nucleotides) under Hevea brasiliensis (rubber tree). Lineage: Eukaryota; Viridiplantae; Streptophyta; Magnoliopsida; Malpighiales; Euphorbiaceae. The record is from RNAcentral.
UGAUUAAUUCAAAAUAUGGGAUGGAAUGGUAAUUACUAGAUACUGUGCCCAUAACUUUAAAACUUGGUGGGAAUACAGUCUUCUACUUUUACUACACAAUUCAAAUGCAAGCAUGCAUCAGUUCUUAUUAUAUUCAGUUUAAAUUAGAGGGAUUCUUACUUGUGAGCAACUGUGUUGCCCAAACAGGGUGAGAUUGGGGAUGGACAGG